CGGGGCGUAGCGCAGCCCGGUAGCGCACUUGACUGGGGGUCAAGGGGUCGCUGGUUCGAAUCCAGUCGCCCCGA
RNAcentral lists this transfer RNA (74 nucleotides) under Rhizobium sullae. Its description in RNAcentral is "tRNA-Pro". It matches the Rfam family "tRNA". Rfam says of the family: Transfer RNA (tRNA) molecules are approximately 80 nucleotides in length. Lineage: Bacteria; Pseudomonadati; Pseudomonadota; Alphaproteobacteria; Hyphomicrobiales; Rhizobiaceae. The record is from RNAcentral. RNAcentral also lists the same sequence under 1 other name.